AAAGCAUUAGCAACUUGGUGUCAUUAAUUACCAAAACCAAACUUGGACUUUUAAGGGCUUUGGACGAUGCACGAAAUCUACAAUUGUAUUGGCUUUCUUGCGCUCUGGGGUUAAAAAAACCUUUAGUUUCGGCCCAUAACACGAGCUGAGACUAAAGGAUCCUGCCCAACGGCUGCCUAAUGGCUACCUGGCAGAGCUGUCGGGGUAGGGACCCUUUAGUCUCGGCUCGUGUUAGGGCCGGGACUAAAGUGGUCCCUUUAGUCCGGGGCAAGCCACCAGCCGGGACUAAAGAUGUAGCCCCGGUUGGUGGCUUGCCCUAAGACUAAAAGGAUGUAGCCCCUGUUCUUUCUUCAGCCCGGGACUAAAGAUGUAGCCCCUGUUCUUUCUUCAGCCCGGGACUAAAAGCCCACGCUAUAAAUCACGAUCACUUCUUUCUGGUCGAUACUGAGCCCAUUCAAAUUUCAGUGAGCUGUUUUUGCUUGUUCUUGCUCUUGCCAUUGCUAGUUUUUACUUGUUCUUCAUCUCCGACGCCUAUUGGUGAUCAUCUUCGACGUCGCCAUCGUUUCCCUCGAUCUAGGGUUUGAAUCGACGUCAUCGAUGCCUAUUGGUGAUCUUCUUCGACUUCACCAUCGACUUUUUGUGUUUAUAGGAACAGCUUACUGAUGUUGCCAUGCAGCGCCAGCAGGAGAAACAACAAGCUCCUUUGCAGCGUCACUGUGAUGGCCUUGAGGUAGGCGACAGAGGAGACCUCGUGGGUGUGCUUGUUCAUGAUGUGCUCGUACAGACCCACGUUCAUGCCGCGGUAGCUACAGCCAUCGUCGAUGCCUCUAAUCUACGACUCAUGUCUAUGAAUAGCUUUCACUGGAUACUCAUAGCCAUCGAUUUUGAUGAAAAUAAGGUUUUAAUUUAUGACUCAAUGCGGAAACCGCAAGAAGAUUAUCAAGAUAUGAUAGACAUCAUCCAAGGGUAUAUUCGAUCCAUUGCAUAGUAGACUAAGAAGCUUGUAUACUUAACGAUAUCCGACUCUUAUUUCUUAUCAUUGGUUUAGGGUCUGGGAGGUCUUCAUUGCCCGAGAACAUAUGACUAAAUGUAGAGCACCACUAAAAGUAAUACAUCUACCAUGGAUUUUGAAACAAGAACCGGGCAACAACUUAUGUGGAUACUACGUUUGCGAGUAUAUAAUAGUUCAAUCAAAUAGAAUUUCUGAAGAAUAACUCAGAACUGAAUGGUUGAAGCAAAAACUCAUGCAACAUGAACAAUUCCAAGCAAUACAAGAGGCACUAGCAGGAUUUCUUCGGAAACAAGUCAUAAGUCCAAGCGGCGAGUUCCACUAUAAUCCUAACAAUGAUGAUCAUUUGUAUGCCGUGUAGAUCUUUGGAUGAUGGAGUUCAAAAUGUAAUAGGUUUAGAGUACUAACUUUGGAGUACAACUUGUGAUAGAUUUGGAGAACAACUUCUAUAUAUAUAGCUUGUAAUUUUAUGUGCAUAAAAUUA
Sorghum bicolor (sorghum) is the source of this 1493-nucleotide long non-coding RNA. RefSeq lists it as uncharacterized. The transcript has 5 exons. Lineage: Eukaryota; Viridiplantae; Streptophyta; Magnoliopsida; Poales; Poaceae. The record is from RefSeq and is a predicted model, not a curated record.